GGGAUUGCCCCAGUAACGGCGAGUGAAGCGGCAACAGCUCAAAUUUGAAAUCUUGGCCCCCAGGGCCCGAGUUGUAAUUUGUAGAGGAUGCUUUUGGCGCGGUGCCUUCCGAGUUCCCUGGAACGGGACGCCAUAGAGGGUGAGAGCCCCGUCUGGUUGGACACCUAGCCUCUGUAAAGCUCCUUCGACGAGUCGAGUAGUUUGGGAAUGCUGCUCUAAAUGGGAGGUAUAUGUCUUCUAAAGCUAAAUACCGGCCAGAGACCGAUAGCGCACAAGUAGAGUGAUCGAAAGAUGAAAAGCACUUUGAAAAGAGGGUUAAAUAGUACGUGAAAUUGUUGAAAGGGAAGCGUUUGUGACCAGACUUGGGCCCGGUUGAUCAUCCACCGUUCUCGGUGGUGCACUCUGCCGGCCCAGGCCAGCAUCAGUUCGCGCCGGGGGAUAAAGGCUCCAGGGAAUGUGGCUCCGUCCGGGAGUGUUAUAGCCCGUUGUGUAAUACCCUGGUGCA
This 505-nucleotide ribosomal RNA is filed under the name Acremonium charticola. RNAcentral's name for it is "eukaryotic LSU rRNA". It matches the Rfam family "Eukaryotic large subunit ribosomal RNA", at positions 71 to 585 of the family's 3401-position model. Lineage: Eukaryota; Fungi; Ascomycota; Sordariomycetes; Hypocreales; Bionectriaceae. The record is from RNAcentral.